AUCCAGCUGACGAGUCCCAAAUAGGACGAAAUAGCGCGCGUCCGGGAU
RNAcentral lists this non-coding RNA (48 nucleotides) under Schistosoma mattheei. Lineage: Eukaryota; Metazoa; Platyhelminthes; Trematoda; Strigeidida; Schistosomatidae. The record is from RNAcentral.